Molecule: transfer RNA, 63 nt
Filed under: Cucujoidea sp. 23 KM-2017
Lineage: Eukaryota; Metazoa; Arthropoda; Insecta; Coleoptera
Description: tRNA-Asp
Source: RNAcentral
AAGAAUUUAGUUAAUUUAUAACAUUAAUUUGUCAAAUUAAAAUUACUAUUAAAGUAUUUCUUU